Long non-coding RNA from Salvelinus namaycush (lake trout), 157 nucleotides. RefSeq lists it as uncharacterized. The record is from RefSeq and is a predicted model, not a curated record. The transcript has 3 exons. NCBI's taxonomy places the organism in Eukaryota, Metazoa, Chordata, Actinopteri, Salmoniformes, Salmonidae.
GAAUAGGCAAGAGGGCCAACCAUGGAGAAUAGUUAUAUCAGCUGUGUCGGUGAACCCCUCCUGCAUCUGAACUGGCUACAUCGAGGACACAGCAUGAUCAUGCUGAGAUAUGUUUUGAUGUGAGAGGAUGCCAACCCCCAGUCCCAUCAUCGCCACC